Molecule: ribosomal RNA, 194 nt
Filed under: uncultured eukaryote
Lineage: Eukaryota
Description: partial 18S ribosomal RNA
Rfam family: Eukaryotic small subunit ribosomal RNA
Source: RNAcentral
GUAACCUGGUUGAUCCUGCCAGUAGUCAUAUGCUUGUCUCAAAGAUUAAGCCAUGCAUGUCUAAGUAUAAGCUUGUAUACGGUGAGACUGCGAAUGGCUCAUUAAAACAGUUAUAGUUUAUUUGCUGGACGUGUAUAUGGAUAACCGUAGCAAUUCUAGAGCUAAUACAUGCUGGUUGCGCUGCUCUGCAGCGU